GCGCGUCCCAACCUUCCCAAAUCGCGGUCUCAGCUCUGCUCCGCCCUCGCCCACCCGCCCGUUUCGCAUGCCCCCAAAUCCACCGUGGUCGCGCCGCCGUAGCAGCAGCACCACCCUGUCAUCGGCGGCAGGAGGAACAGCAACAACGAGGAGGCGUUUCAGGAGGUGGACCCGACCGGGCGGUUCGGGCGGUACGCGGCCAUGCCGGGAUGGGCUCCGUCAAGAAGGUUCGACCAGGAGGAGUGCAUCGAGGUGGCGUGGAACCGGGUGCGCCUGCGCGCGCUGGACCCCUCCAUGGUCGACCGCCGCCAUGCCGAGGUGCGCCUUCUCCGCUCCCUCCAUCGUGACCACAUCAUAGGCUUCCACGAGGUCUGGCUCGACCACGACGCUGGCGUGCUGAACUUCAUCACCGAGGUCUGCAACUUGGCGAGCCUCCGCGAGUAUUUCGACCGCCACAAGCACGUCUCCGUCAGAGCGCUCAAGAAGUGGGCGCUCCUUGAGGGCCUUGACCACCUCCACACCCGCGACCCCUGCAUCAUCCACCGCGACCGUACUUGCAGCAACGUCUUCAGCAACGGCAACACCGGCCAUGUAAUACCUGCGCCAAUCAAUCUCGCUCGCCUAGCUAAUUGCCUAUCCUCGCACACUUCUUGGUUCGAACAGCCUCAACGGCGACGAGGACAACAGUAGGAUCUAACACUUGGCAGAGAUCGUGAAUUUUCUCGGUAUCAUGCAAAGCGAUUCAGAUUCAGCGGGCGCCAUCUUUUGUGGUGUUGCAUGCCAGAGGCAGGCAAUUGGAGCUUCUCCGUCUAAUUGUUAACUUGGUGGAAGCUAGCUGCUAUACUAAAAACCUAGAGUGGAGUGUCGUUGAUGAGCAGUUAGAAAGGAUGUACAACUUGUAGAUUCCAUUGCCAUACAUUACCUGACAAAUUGCUCCCUCGCAGUGUCGUUGAUGAGCAGUUAGAAAGGAUGUACAACUUGUAGAUUCCAUUGCAGAGAAACAUGCAUAGAUUUUUUUCAGAAGAGUGCAAGUCUUUUCCUGCUACUGUCCAAAUACAACCAAUUUACCCCCUCCAAAUCAGGAGCUUGGAUGAUGUCAGGUUGAAUCUUGAGUUUCUCAAGUACUUGUGAUGAAUAGUUCAGUGAAAUGUACAAAGGGAUAACCUUGGAUGCAGUGGUGGAGCAUAGGCGGGACACUACUGCUCCUUGCCCCCACCUCCCUUCCUAGAGGAAAUUUUACCAAAUAUGCUUAUAUUUCUGCUAAUCGUUCUACUAACCCUCCGGUGUCUCUGAUCACCCUAGCCUUUUUAUGUCAUACACUCAUUUUGGCCCCUCCUAAUAUCUGGUUCAUGCUCCCCCACAGCUUGGAUUGUGAAGACUUGCUUAGUCCAUCCUUUUGCUUUGCUUACUAAUGAUGCCCCAAGAUGCAAAAUACUAAUUAGUUUUCUUUAUGUGUGUGCUACAUUUUAGAUGCAAUUGCUGAUCAACAUCUUUGGCUUCACGGUUAUUCAUGGAAACUGGAUGUGGCAAUGAAACAAAAGGAGUUGCACUGGUUGGGACUUGGGAGGCAUGGAUAGUUCAAGUACUAUCUGGGAUACUACUUACAUUGCUAAUAAGUUAACGUCUGGUCCUAAUACUAGGAUUCCCAGCUAUCUUAGUUUCAAGCCCUGUAUGCUUAUUUGAUUGAAGGUGGAAGUGGGACUCCUUUUGGUGCUUAAGUAAUAACUCAAUGAUAGCGGGAACUAGUUGAAUUAUCAAUAUACAUUUGGGCAUAGAGCAUGACGAUGUAUGAAACUUCUGAACACUUUCAGGUUGUCGGACAAACUGCAACUAUGAACAGUAUGCCUCAUUUGACUCUUGUGGGGGUAGAGCAAUAAAAUAAACAUGUCAUCACUAGGCGAGUUCAAACACUGGAUGGCAAGGCGGUCAUCUAUUUGAAUACACUUAAUCGUUUCAAGGAGGUAGAAGGCGGUGCAGAAGCUGCAGUUUUGACCCCACUUGUGCUAGACAAUUUUUUUUCGGAGAUUUGUGCCAGCCAAUUUGGGUAUGAGUGAUGCUCACGGAGGCCAUUCUACGUAGCUGAUGGACUGUCAUGUCUAUAUAAUUUUUAUAUAGCUGACAAUUCAAUCAUGAAAUGCUAGGGCUCCAUGGAAGGAAAAGGAAAAUGCGUCUGCAAAAUCAGUAUAUUUUGUGAUGGAAGUAUUGGUAGAUUUGAUAUUAUCUUACAACCUAUAAGAACACCGAAUGUGUGAAACAACAUUUGUUAUUGUCCAGCAACGCGACCACAAAUCCACAAUGAUUGCAACACUGUAUUUAUUUGACCAUAUAUUUUUGGAAUAUUCCAUGUUUUGUUUAUAUA
Triticum dicoccoides is the source of this 2359-nucleotide long non-coding RNA. RefSeq lists it as uncharacterized. The transcript has 8 exons. Lineage: Eukaryota; Viridiplantae; Streptophyta; Magnoliopsida; Poales; Poaceae. The record is from RefSeq and is a predicted model, not a curated record.